RNAcentral lists this ribosomal RNA (440 nucleotides) under uncultured bacterium. RNAcentral's name for it is "bacterial SSU rRNA". It matches the Rfam family "Bacterial small subunit ribosomal RNA", at positions 338 to 770 of the family's 1533-position model. The record is from RNAcentral.
CCUACGGGAGGCAGCAGUGGGGAAUCUUGCGCAAUGCGCGAAAGCGUGACGCAGCAACGCCGCGUGAGGGAAGACGGCUUUCGGGUUGUAAACCUCUUUCAGUUGGGACGAAGCCCAGACGGUGAACAGCCGUACUGGGUGACGGUACCUUCAGAAGAAGCCCCGGCUAACUACGUGCCAGCAGCCGCGGUAAUACGUAGGGGGCAAGCGUUGUCCGGAAUCAUUGGGCGUAAAGAGCGCGUAGGCGGUCCGGUAAGUCUGCCGUGAAAGCCAGGGGCUCAACCCUUGGAUGCCGGUGGAUACUGUCGGGCUAGAGUCCGGAAGAGGCGAGUGGAAUUCCUGGUGUAGCGGUGAAAUGCGCAGAUAUCAGGAAGAACACCAAUGGCGAAGGCAGCUCGCUGGGACGGAACUGACGCUGAGGCGCGAAAGCGUGGGGAGCA